GUACGAGAGGACCGGGAUGGACGCACCGCUGGUGUACCAGUUGUUCUGCCAAGGGCAUCGCUGGGUAGCUAUGUGCGGACGGGAUAAGUGCUGAAAGCAUCUAAGCAUGAAGCCCCCCUCAAGAUGAGAUUUCCCAUUCCGCAAGGAAGUAAGAUCCCUGAAAGAUGAUCAGGUUGAUAGGUCUGAGGUGGAAGCGUGGUGACACGUGGAGCUGACAGAUACUAAUAGAUCGAGGACUUAACCUA
This 245-nucleotide ribosomal RNA is filed under the name Bacillus altitudinis. Its description in RNAcentral is "partial 23S ribosomal RNA". It matches the Rfam family "Bacterial large subunit ribosomal RNA", at positions 2681 to 2925 of the family's 2925-position model. The record is from RNAcentral. Lineage: Bacteria; Bacillati; Bacillota; Bacilli; Caryophanales; Bacillaceae.